This 253-nucleotide ribosomal RNA is filed under the name uncultured bacterium. Its description in RNAcentral is "partial 16S ribosomal RNA". It matches the Rfam family "Bacterial small subunit ribosomal RNA", at positions 524 to 776 of the family's 1533-position model. The record is from RNAcentral.
UACGUAGGGUGCGAGCGUUAAUCGGAAUUACUGGGCGUAAAGCGUGCGUAGGUGGACAUCUAAGUCGCUUGUGAAAUCCCCGGGCUUAACCUGGGAACUGCAGUCGAGACUGAAUGUCUAGAGUAUGGUAGAGGAAAGUAGAAUUCCCGGUGUAGCGGUGAAAUGCGUAGAUAUCGGGAGGAAUACCAGUGGCGAAGGCGGCUUUCUGGACUAAUACUGACACUGAGGUACGAAAGCGUGGGGAGCAAACAGG